GGAAACAGUACGCCGUCUUCACAACUCGGAGACAAACACUAGGCGAUACGAGCCGGCGCAAGGACUAACUUUGCCUCAUAACGAAGCCGUGACAAGCUAUUUAGUGCGGGCUUUGUCGACAAAUCCAAAUCUUCAUGAUGCUGACAAAGACAACAUUGUGUCUGCCUGCAAGACGUAUUACGAAACCUUACGCAGGAGCUAAAGGUACCAGCAGCCUGAUCUUUCGUUGCAGGCGGAAACAAUGAAGUAGCCGGCUCGUAGUC
Molecule: long non-coding RNA, 263 nt
Organism: Neoarius graeffei (lesser salmon catfish)
Lineage: Eukaryota; Metazoa; Chordata; Actinopteri; Siluriformes; Ariidae
Exons: 3
Source: RefSeq, a predicted model, not a curated record